This 325-nucleotide unclassified non-coding RNA is filed under the name soil metagenome. RNAcentral's name for it is "partial contains 5.8S ribosomal RNA, internal transcribed spacer 2, and large subunit ribosomal RNA". The stretch from base 1 to 122 matches the Rfam family "5.8S ribosomal RNA", at positions 35 to 154 of the family's 154-position model. The record is from RNAcentral.
GAUGAAGAACGCAGCGAAAUGCGAUACGUAAUGUGAAUUGCAGAUCUCUCAGUGAACCAUCGAAUUUUUGAACGCACAUUGCGCCCUGUGGUAUUCCGCAGGGCAUGCCUGUUCGAGCGUCAUUUCAACCCUCAAGCUCUGCUUGGUGUUGGGCCCUGCCCGCUGCGGCCGGCCCUAAAGACAGUGGCGGUGCCGCCUGGCCCUGAGCGUAGUACAUCUCUCGCUCCAGUGCCCGGUGGUAGCCUGCCAGAACCCCAACUCUCGUGGUUGACCUCGGAUCAGGUAGGGAUACCCGCUGAACUUAAGCAUAUCAAUAAGCGGAGGA